Lolium rigidum is the source of this 1410-nucleotide long non-coding RNA. RefSeq lists it as uncharacterized. The record is from RefSeq and is a predicted model, not a curated record. Lineage: Eukaryota; Viridiplantae; Streptophyta; Magnoliopsida; Poales; Poaceae. The transcript is spliced from 4 exons.
GACACUUUUGUGGCUUACUUUUCAGCAUAUACUUUUGGUUACUCUGGGUUCAGAAAGAAUUAAGAGGAAAAGCACAUUUGGAAAGGGAAGAGAACUAUCUGCACAUGUUGUUUUUAUCAUCAAGAAUGUAUUCUGCAUCAGUAUGAUGCCUGCUUUUCAGGAUCCCUUGCACCUUCGAUGUUAAGCAGGUAUAAUGAUGCACUUAUUUUAGAGUAGAGGGAAGUAUUAGUACUACUCCUGUACAUAUUAGAGCAUAAGAAAUCUCUGAAUUGUAUCUUUGAAAAUAUAUAGAACCAACAAUACCCCACCACCUUUAUUAUGAUUUAUUUUUGCGUUCAUAUUGUUCUUCAAAAUAUAUAGAACCAACAAUACCCCGCCACCUUUAUUAUGAUUUAUUUUUGCGUUCAUAACUCAGACACGCUAUUUUGACUACUUUCACCACCCAUACAAGUUCCAAAUUUACAGCUUCCAUCAAUGUUUGUUUCAUUCCUUCAUGCCAUUGGUAUAUAGUAGCACAGUACAUAAAGAAACGUAUGAAUUUUGCAGCUUUAGUAACAUAUCCAGUAGUUGCAGACAAAUACUUGAUUGGCCAGCUUCCUCACUAUUUGAAGUAUGUUCAGUGUCAAAUCAACUAUGGAAUUACACAGAUCACACGUUUCAUAGAAUCAAAAUUAAUAAGCUGAAGAUACAAACAUCAUUGGUCUUAUGAUAAGCUUGCUUACUUCAAGAACAAUCAGGCAAGGACUAAAUAGAUGCAGAGUUGCACUACCAGCACCGGCCAGCUGAUGGGGAACACAAUGGAAAGAUACAUUCUAGCCAACCGGAUAGACCAGUUUAGGGAACAUGUGAAGGAAAAAAGCUCAAUCUAUAAUUCUAUAAUAUGUACGGAAAAAAUACGAGGCAACAGACCACCACCCUUACUGGAUUAAAAUAACCUAGCUGACAAAAAUUCACGAAGUCAUUCUGAAGCCUGAAAACUUUCCAUUGUUUGCAUAUGAUGUGCAGCCUUUCGAUGCACUGCAUACAUGCAUAGGCGACAUUACCCUUCUGUCAGAUGCUGUUGGAUGGGUUACAAUGCUGACACACAUUAUUCCGUCCAAGAAAAAUCCAAUGACACUCCAUGGGGAUGGCGUGCAAAAGCCUUUUAUGCAUUUGCUCUUUAUAGAGCUUCAUGUGAGCAUACCAUUGUUAUACUCUGCCGGGCAUCGGUAGCCUAUACUGGAGUUUUUUUUGUUGUAAUAAGGAUAGUUGUAUGUGGACUUAGCUGUGGUUUAUCUUGGUAGGUAUCUUAUAAUCUGUGCUCUACACUGAAGUUGUUUGUAACGAAUUAUCAUACAAAGUUGUUUGUAACGAAUUAUCAUACAUUUUGUCUACAACUGUAAUAUGUAGUGAGUUUAUAUUGUUUUACCA